GACGAACGCUGGCGGCGUGCUUAACACAUGCAAGUCGAACGAAGUGGCGAACGGGUGAGUAACGCGUAAUCAACCUGCCCUUCAGAGGGGGACAACAGUUGGAAACGACUGCUAAUACCGCAUACUGAAGGAGGGGAUUGCGUCUGAUUAGCUAGUUGGAGGGGUAACGGCCCACCAAGGCGAUGAUCAGUAGCCGGUCGGAGAGAAUGAACGGCGAAAUUGGGACUAGGACACAGCCCAGACUCCGCAGGGAGGCAGCAGUGGGGAGUCUUCCGCAAUGGACGAAAGUCUGACGGAGCAACGCCGCGUGAGUGAUGACGGCCUUCGGGUUGUAAAGCUCUGUUAAUCGGGACGCGGUACCGGAAUAGAAAGCCACGGCUAACUACGUGCCAGCAGCCGCGGUAAUUC
This 408-nucleotide ribosomal RNA is filed under the name uncultured bacterium. Its description in RNAcentral is "partial 16S ribosomal RNA". It matches the Rfam family "Bacterial small subunit ribosomal RNA", at positions 28 to 526 of the family's 1533-position model. The record is from RNAcentral.